RNAcentral lists this ribosomal RNA (253 nucleotides) under uncultured bacterium. RNAcentral describes it as "partial 16S ribosomal RNA". It matches the Rfam family "Bacterial small subunit ribosomal RNA", at positions 524 to 776 of the family's 1533-position model. The record is from RNAcentral.
UACGAGGGGGGCGAGCGUUGUUCGGAAUUAUUGGGCGUAAAGGGCGCGUAGGCGGUCUUGUAAGUCUCGUGUGAAAUCCCUCGGCUUAACUGAGGAACUGCACGGGAUACUGCAUGACUUGAGAUCGGGAGAGGGAAGCGGAAUUCCGGGUGUAGCGGUGAAAUGCGUAGAUAUCCGGAGGAACACCGGUGGCGAAGGCGGCUUCCUGGACCGACACUGACGCUGAGGCGCGAAAGCUAGGGGAGCAAACGGG